UAUCAAUGAUUGGGGAAAAAAAAUAAAAUUAGGGUUCCCCGAUUUCCAUAGAGGAGAGAGUCAAGUGUUUGUGAAAAGGUAAAGAGAGAGUCGAGUGUGAGAGACGAGUAGAGCAAAACGUAAGUCUUGUUAUUUAAAGACGUUAUUUUCGAUUGGUGGAUUGUGAAGAGACAAAACUCGAGGACGAGGUGGGCCAUUUCAUUUAAUAAAUGUGAUUUUGGGAGUAUCUGAGUUUUGAUUUUUCCCGUGAGCUAAAUGAUUUACAGUAGAUGAUUGGUUGCGAAGUCUCCAAAUGUUUGGAAUUUGCUGGUUUUAUAUUUCACAAAUGUAUUCCAAUCUUUUUUUUUUUUUUUGAUAAUUAAUGUAUUCCAAUCUUGUAUCUUUUUUUUUUGUGAAAAUUUGUAUCCUUUUGUGUUAUGACUUAUGAUAAUGAAAUUCCAGCUUUAAAAAAGAAAAAAAAAUCUGGUUCACGAAGUCUGGUGACUUCAUUUAUUAUUAUUAUUUAAUAUAUAUUCUGUGAGUUCGUUUAUACUCCAAUAGGAAAAUAAGAUAUUGCAACUACACAUCGACGGAAUAGCAGAGUCACACGUAAUAGGAAACACAUUCUAAGAGUAAUUAAUAAACUAACUUAUGAAUUACAUAAUUAACAAUCCCAUGUUAAACUUUUUUUUUUGAAUUACCAGGUGGUUCGGCCGAACUCUAAUUUCCGAAACCACAACAUAUAAUAUUAGCUUUGUCUCGAUGGUCACUCUGGAGACCUUUGGCACAAUGAUCAGAGUCCUUUAUAGUUGAGUUAAUGAUCUAUCGUUCAAUGUUAAACUAUUAGUGAGUGCGUCAUUGUCACUGACUACCUCUAUAUAAACAUACCACUACAAGAAAACAGCGGUAUUCUGACGGACAUUCCGACGGAAAAUGAAAUCCUCGGAAUAUACCGAGGAAUUUCCGAGGAAAUUCUGAGGAAACACAAAAUUGGGGUUCCUCGGAAUUUCCUCGGAAUAUACCGACGGAAUUCCGAGGAAACCUCAGUCCGUCGGAAUAUUCCGAGGAACAAUGUGUUCCUCGGAAAAAACC
Molecule: long non-coding RNA, 1071 nt
Organism: Brassica napus (rape)
Lineage: Eukaryota; Viridiplantae; Streptophyta; Magnoliopsida; Brassicales; Brassicaceae
Exons: 2
Source: RefSeq, a predicted model, not a curated record